This 285-nucleotide ribosomal RNA is filed under the name uncultured Pseudomonas sp. RNAcentral describes it as "partial 16S ribosomal RNA". It matches the Rfam family "Bacterial small subunit ribosomal RNA", at positions 397 to 674 of the family's 1533-position model. Lineage: Bacteria; Pseudomonadati; Pseudomonadota; Gammaproteobacteria; Pseudomonadales; Pseudomonadaceae. The record is from RNAcentral.
CCGCGUGUGUGAAGAAGGUCUUCGGAUUGUAAAGCACUUUAAGUUGGGAGGAAGGGCAGUAAGUUAAUACCUUGCUGUUUUGACGUUACCAACAGAAUAAGCACCGGCUAACUUCGUGCCAGCAGCCGCGGUAAUACGAAGGGUGCAAGCGUUAAUCGGAAUUACUGGGCGUAAAGCGCGCGUAGGUGGUUCGUUAAGUUGGAUGUGAAAGCCCCGGGCUCAACCUGGGAACUGCAUCCAAAACUGGCGAGCUAGAGUAUGGCAGAGGGUGGUGGAAUUUCCUGU